RNAcentral lists this ribosomal RNA (1445 nucleotides) under uncultured bacterium. RNAcentral describes it as "bacterial SSU rRNA". It matches the Rfam family "Bacterial small subunit ribosomal RNA". The record is from RNAcentral.
AGAGUUUGAUCCUGGCUCAGGAUGAACGCUGGCGGCGUGCUUAACACAUGCAAGUCGAACGAACCUUCGGGUUAGUGGCGGACGGGUGAGUAACGCGUGAGAAUCUGCCCUCAGGAGGGGGAUAACAGUUGGAAACGACUGCUAAUACCCCAUAUGCCGAGAGGUGAAAUGAAUUUCGCCUGGGGAUGAGCUCGCGUCUGAUUAGCUUGUUGGUGGGGUAAUAGCCUACCAAGGCUUCGAUCAGUAGCUGGUCUGAGAGGACGAUCAGCCACACUGGGACUGAGACACGGCCCAGACUCCUACGGGAGGCAGCAGUGGGGAAUUUUCCGCAAUGGGCGAAAGCCUGACGGAGCAACGCCGCGUGAGGGAUGGAGGCCUUUGGGCUGUAAACCUCUUUUCUCAAGGAAGAAGAUCUGACGGUACUUGAGGAAUAAGCCACGGCUAAUUCCGUGCCAGCAGCCGCGGUAAUACGGGAGUGGCAAGCGUUAUCCGGAAUUAUUGGGCGUAAAGCGUCCGCAGGCGGCCGUUUAAGUCUGUUGUUAAAUCGUGGAGCUCAACUCCAUCACGGCAAUGGAAACUGUUCGGCUUGAGUAUGGUAGGGGCAGAGGGAAUUUCCGGUGUAGCGGUGAAAUGCGUAGAUAUCGGGAAGAACACCAGUGGCGAAAGCGCUCUGCUGGGCCAUUACUGACGCUCAUGGACGAAAGCCAGGGGAGCGAAAGGGAUUAGAUACCCCUGUAGUCCUGGCCGUAAACGAUGAACACUAGAUGUUGGGGGAAUCGACCCCCUCGGUGUCGUAGCUAACGCGUUAAGUGUUCCGCCUGGGGAGCACGCACGCAAGUGUGAAACUCAAAGGAAUUGACGGGGGCCCGCACAAGCGGUGGAGUAUGUGGUUUAAUUCGAUGCAACGCGAAGAACCUUACCAAGGCUUGACAUCCUGCGAAUCUCUAAGAAAUUAGAGAGUGCCUUCGGGAACGCAGUGACAGGUGGUGCAUGGCUGUCGUCAGCUCGUGUCGUGAGAUGUUGGGUUAAGUCCCGCAACGAGCGCAACCCACGUUUUUAGUUGCCAGCAUUCAGUUGGGCACUCUAGAAAGACUGCCGGUGACAAACCGGAGGAAGGUGUGGACGACGUCAAGUCAUCAUGCCCCUUACGCCUUGGGCUACACACGUACUACAAUGCUGCGGACAAAGAGUAGCGAUCUUGCGAAAGUUAGCUAAUCUCACAAACCGUGGCUCAGUUCAGAUCGUAGGCUGCAACUCGCCUACGUGAAGGAGGAAUCGCUAGUAAUCGCAGGUCAGCAUACUGCGGUGAAUACGUUCCCGGGCCUUGUACACACCGCCCGUCACACCAUGGAAGUUGGCCAUGCCCGAAGUCGUUACUCUAACCUUUUGGAAGAGGGCGCCGAAGGCAGGGCUAAUGACUGGGGUGAAGUCGUAACAAGGUAACC